GACGAACGCUGGCGGCGUGCUUAACACAUGCAAGUCGAACGGAAAGGCCCUGCUUUUGUGGGGUGCUCGAGUGGCGAACGGGUGAGUAACACGUGAGUAACCUGCCCUUGACUUUGGGAUAACUUCAGGAAACUGGGGCUAAUACUGGAUAGGAGCUCCUGCUGCAUGGUGGGGGUUGGAAAGUUUCGGCGGUUGGGGAUGGACUCGCGGCUUAUCAGCUUGUUGGUGGGGUAGUGGCUUACCAAGGCUUUGACGGGUAGCCGGCCUGAGAGGGUGACCGGCCACAUUGGGACUGAGAUACGGCCCAGACUCCUACGGGAGGCAGCAGUGGGGAAUAUUGCACAAUGGGCGGAAGCCUGAUGCAGCAACGCCGCGUGCGGGAUGACAGCCUUCGGGUUGUAAACCGCUUUCGCCUGUGACGAAGCGUGAGUGACGGUAAUGGGUAAAGAAGCACCGGCUAACUACGUG
Molecule: ribosomal RNA, 468 nt
Filed under: uncultured bacterium
Lineage: Bacteria
Description: partial 16S ribosomal RNA
Rfam family: Bacterial small subunit ribosomal RNA
Source: RNAcentral